CAGGGAUUGCCUCAGUAACGGCGAGUGAAGCGGCAACAGCUCAAAUUUUAAAGCUGGCGUCUUUGGCGCCCGCGUUGUAAUUUGGAGAGGCAUCUUCGGUUUGGGCGCCAGCCUAUGUUCCUUGGAACAGGACGUCACAGAGGGUGAGAAUCCCGUGCCUGGCUGGCUGUCCCUUUCCAUGUGAAGUGCCUUCGACGAGUCGAGUUGUUUGGGAAUGCAGCUCAAAAUGGGUGGUAAAUUUCAUCUAAAGCUAAAUAUUGGCGGGAGACCGAUAGCGCACAAGUAGAGUGAUCGAAAGAUGAAAAGCACUUUGAAAAUAGAGUUAAAAAGUACGUGAAAUUGUUGAAAGGGAAGCGCUUGAGACCAGACUCGGCCGGAGAUGAUCAGCCGUCCUUCUGGGCGGUGCACUCGUUUCCGGCCGGGCCAGCAUCGGUUGAGACGGCGGGAUAAAGGCCCGGGGAAUGUGGCUCCUUUCGGGGAGUGUUAUAGCCCCGGGCGCAAUGCCGCCAGCCUCGACCGAGGACCGCGCUUAAUUGCUAGGAUGCUGGCGUAAUGGUCUUCAGCGACCCGUCUUGAAACACGGACCAAGGAGUCUAACAUCUAUGCGAGUGUUUGGGUGUCAAACCCUUGCGCGUAAUGAAAGUGAACGGAGGUGGGAACCCCUCGCGGGGCGCACCAUCGACCGGUCCUGAUGUCUUCGGAUGGAUCUGAGUAGGAGCAUAGCUGUUGGGACCCGAAAGAUGGUGAACUAUGCCUGAAUAGGGUGAAGCCAGAGGAAACUCUGGUGGAGGCUCGCAGCGGUUCUGACGUGCAAAUCGAUCGUCAAAUUUGGGUAUAGGGGCGAAAGACUAAUCGAACC
Molecule: ribosomal RNA, 859 nt
Filed under: Gyromitra esculenta
Lineage: Eukaryota; Fungi; Ascomycota; Pezizomycetes; Pezizales; Discinaceae
Description: partial large subunit ribosomal RNA
Rfam family: Eukaryotic large subunit ribosomal RNA
Source: RNAcentral